This 116-nucleotide ribozyme is filed under the name Aedes aegypti (yellow fever mosquito). RNAcentral's name for it is "drz-agam-1 ribozyme". It matches the Rfam family "drz-agam-1 ribozyme". The record is from Rfam by way of RNAcentral. Lineage: Eukaryota; Metazoa; Arthropoda; Insecta; Diptera; Culicidae.
UGCCCAGCAACUCCUAUCCCUACCUCCGCGCGGUACUGACCGGGGUACGAGUUACCUUAGGUAAGAUCGGGCAACCAACUCCGGUGGGAGCUCUGGUCGUAUGCUGACAGGAGAUG